AAGCUCCGGCGGUGAAGGAUGAGCCCGCGGCCUAUCAGCUUGUUGGUGGGGUAAUGGCCUACCAAGGCAACGACUGGUAGCCGGCCUUGAGAGGGCGACCGGCCACACUGGGACUGAGACACGGCCCAAACUCCUACGGGAGGCAACUCUGGGGAAUAUUGCACAAUGGGCAAAAAGCCUGAUGGAGCGACGCCCCGUGAGGGAUGACGGCCUUCGGGUUGUAAACCUCUUUCAUCAGGGAAGAAUCGCACGUGACGGUACCUGGCUCAAAAAGCGCCGGCUAACUACGUGCCAGCACCCGCGAUAAUACGUAGGGCGCAAGCGUUGCCCGCAAUUAUUGGGCGUAAAGAGCCUCGUAGGCGGCUUGUCAAUUCUGAUGUGAAAGCCCGGGGCUUAACCCCGGUUCUGCAUUCUAUACGGGCUAGCUACAGUGUGUCAGGACAGAUCGGAAUUCCUGGAGUAUCGGUGAAAUGCACAAAUAUCAGGAUGAACACGGGUGGCGAAGGCGGAUCUCUGGGCCAUUACUGACGCUGAGGAACGAAACUUGCGGAGCUAACAGUGAUUACAUACCCUGGUAGUCCACGCCGUAAACGAUGAGAACUAGGGCGUGGGCGAC
RNAcentral lists this ribosomal RNA (616 nucleotides) under Streptomyces sp. GHBA10. RNAcentral describes it as "bacterial SSU rRNA". It matches the Rfam family "Bacterial small subunit ribosomal RNA", at positions 202 to 831 of the family's 1533-position model. The record is from RNAcentral. Lineage: Bacteria; Bacillati; Actinomycetota; Actinomycetes; Kitasatosporales; Streptomycetaceae.